Molecule: transfer RNA, 69 nt
Filed under: Cladiucha magnoliae
Lineage: Eukaryota; Metazoa; Arthropoda; Insecta; Hymenoptera; Tenthredinidae
Also listed under: 3 other names
Description: tRNA-Leu
Source: RNAcentral
UCUAUAAUGACAGAAUAAUGUAAUGGAUUUAAACCCCAAUAAUAAAGAUAUUUUUAUCUUUUUAUAGAA